This 433-nucleotide ribosomal RNA is filed under the name uncultured bacterium. RNAcentral's name for it is "partial 16S ribosomal RNA". It matches the Rfam family "Bacterial small subunit ribosomal RNA", at positions 29 to 507 of the family's 1533-position model. The record is from RNAcentral.
AACGAACGCUGGCGGCAUGCCUAACACAUGCCAGUCGAACGAGACCUUCGGGUCUAGUGGCGCACGGGUGCGUAACGCGUGGGAACCUGCCCUUAGGUUCGGAAUAACUCCCCGAAAGGGGUGCUAAUAUCGGAUAAUGUCUUCGGACCAAAGAUUUAUCGCCUUUGGAUGGGCCCGCAUUGGAUUAGCUAGUUGGUAGUGUAAAAGCCUACCAAGGCGACGAUCCAUAGCUGGUCUGAGAGGAUGAUAAGCCACACUGGGACUGAGACACGGCCCAGACUCCUACGGGAGGCAGCAGUGGGGAAUAUUGGACAAUGGGCGAAAGCCUGAUCCAGCAAUGCCGCGUGAGUGAUGAAGGCCUUAGGGUUGUAAAGCUCUUUUACCCGGGAUGAUAAUGACAGUACCGGGAGAAUAAGCCCCGGCUAACUCCGUG